Molecule: ribosomal RNA, 284 nt
Filed under: Hyperolius frontalis (white-snouted reed frog)
Lineage: Eukaryota; Metazoa; Chordata; Amphibia; Anura; Hyperoliidae
Description: partial large subunit ribosomal RNA
Rfam family: Archaeal large subunit ribosomal RNA
Source: RNAcentral
GAUUCAUUUUAACGGCCGCGGUAUCUUAACCGUGCAAAGGUAGCAUAAUCAAUUGUCUCUUAAAUCGGGACUAGUAUGAACGGCACCACGAGGGUUUAACUGUCUCCCUAUUUUAAUCAAUGAAAUUAACCUUCCCGUGAAGAGCCGGGAAUAUAAUUAUAAGACGAGAAGACCCCAUGGAGCUUUAAACUUAUUGUCACUUAUUUAAUAGUACAACACACCACCAAAUAAGAAUGUCUAAUAGUUUUUGGUUGGGGCGACCCUGGAGAAAAAAUAAAUCCUCC